CCUCCUCCUCUCUGCCUCCCCAACAAUGGUGCCUUGCCUCUCCUACAUGUCCUGACCUCCUCCCAGGUUCCCUCUGCUGUGGCUUUCCACCCAAAAGUCUGUGGCAUACUGAUCCCCUGCCCUUGGUGCACUGCUCCUUAGCCCCUCAGGCUGUCCCCACAACACCAACCCCAGUCCUUUCCUGGGGACUGACCUCUGGAGUCUAAGGUUCAGCAUCCAGCCCCCAUCCCAAGCAUCUCAGGCUGUGGUGUCUGGGCUGGUGCUUCAGGUGAUCUGUGUGGCUAUCACUCUGCUUUGCUGUUCUCAGUCCUGUUGCUGCACUUUUCUUGGUGACUGUGAGGUCCCUCUGGCUUGGCUGAUCUUUCUGUCAGUUAGGUGGCUUCCCAGGGUGUGGAUUCUUUUUCUCCUUUAAGGCUCCAUCUCUGGAAUGCUAGUGCCAUCCUAAUUCCUUCUUUCUUUCUUUUUCUUUUCUUCUCCCAGUUAUGUCAAGAGUUUCUUGCCCUUUUUGGAGGUUUAAGUUCUUCUGCCAGCAUUCAGCUGAAGUUCUGUGAGAGUAGUUUACAUGUAGAUGUUAUUUUUUUUAUGUGUUUGUGGGAGAGGGUGAGUGCAAUGUUUACCCCUCCACCAUCUUGCUCUGCCCCUCUCUAGUACUUGUCUAAAGUAGUUCUUUAUUGUGCCAAUUGUGUUCUGAACAUGAUAAUGAUAAAAAUAGACCUAUUCUUCAAUUAUGCUUAGAGAUUAUAAAAUGCAUUUAUUUCAGUCAUUUAAUUUUAAUCAUACAAUAUCCAAAUGGAAGAGGAAAAUGGGCAAUUAAAUUCAUAAUUUAUAACAAAGAAAUACAAGACAGGGAAUGCAAACCUCAUUUGCCAAAGGGAAAAAAGAAGCCAGGUCAUUAAAUUCUGGGCCAGGAUGCUAGUUGGGUUCAUUACCACUGAGCCAUCAUGGGAACUCCUAUAGUUAAUUUCUAUAAUCACUGAGAACUUGUUCCUACAAAAUAAGAAUUCAAAUAACAUUUGAAUAAGUAUAUUAGUUAUGUGCCAAUAGCAUACUGGCAAGUAUAUUCUCUCUAUAUCAUAUUACACACUAUCCUAGAUACCAGUAGGCAAUAAAGCUUUCUGAGAACAAAGUGAUUUUAUACUCAGGCAUAGUAUACAGCUAUAUAAAAAGAAAAGUUUCACUGAAGGAAAGAACUUUUGAAUAACAGAACCAAUCAACUAGCAUUUUCUGGAUUAUGAAAGAGGAAUAACAGGCAACUAUCACGGACAAAAGGCCAAGAGGAAAUACACCACAAAGUCAAAAGUCUGGGUACAGAUGACAGUAACCCCAGUAAGCAGGUUGCCCAUAACAGUGACAAUAUAACUAAUAAGUAACCUUGAAAUUAGAGUUUUCUGCAACUGAGCCCUGAGUCCUAUUAGAAUGAAUUCAGUCACAUUCAUCCUGUCUUCUUUCAUUUCAAUGCCUAUGAUGAAUUCAGAAGUGGGGAAUUAACCUGUAAAGACAGUGUUUUCAAAAGCCAUGUGAUGUGUAGUAUAUAUUUAGGUUUUAUAGUUAAAUCCAAAGCAUGUUAAUCAUAGAAGCUAUUUUCAUCCACGGUGUACAAAAUAAGCAGGCAACUUUUUUUUCUAUUUCAUAAAAAGAGUGAAUUUUGAAAGCUGUCUGGUUUUGCAACUUACAAGAAUGCUCAAAUUCUUCUUCAGCACCUCUGACAGUUGUUUCCUGGUGCCUUUGUGGAGGAAAACCAGGCACGGGAACUCACCAUGUAAUAAACCUGGGUGCUACUCAGGCAAUAAGAAAUGUUGAAAACUCUUCCACAAAUAUUAAAAAAAAAUUAUGCAACUUUUGGCUCUGCUUUGACACACUGUUGAUACACAGAAGAAUUCAGCCCCCCUCCUCCAUCUAAAACCCACUUUAAUACAUCUAAGAGACAUAGGUCUGUAUCUUCUUCACUUCUUUAUAGCCAUCAUUUUCUUCAGUGUCUGAUGCAUGUGGGUGUUCAAUGAAAUUAAGUGAAUAAAUGAAUUGGAAGACUCUAAUUUCCCCUGCAUUUUCUAUUUUUAUUGCUAUCUUCAAAAAGUACAUUUACUCUCUUACUACAGAAAAUUGAAUAUAUCAUUGGGAUGUUAAUUAGACAUACUCCUCUUACCCACUGAGAUCUCUCACUCUUUGCACAACACUGAGCAGCUGUUUUUGUUGAUUUCUUCAGCCAGCUCUCUUACUUUCUGGCCAAAUGUACUAGCUGAAUAUCAGAGGGAAGGUGAGGAAAAAAGAAAGAAAGGAAAAAAAAUGGAUUGCCAUGGUGUUUAUUGUCCUGGUUCUCUGUUGUGGUUUGUCUAUGCCUGGAUACCUUUAACUGAGGCUACAUUUUUUUUUGGAUGGACCUCCUGGAUAACUGAGAUAUCUCUCUACCCUAUCUUCCAACACUUGGGGGAGUGCCCAUUGUGACAGAACAGAAAGGAAUCUGACUAGUACCAUGAGGAUGCAGUUUCAAUCCCUGGCCUUGAUCAAUGGGUCAGGGAUCUGGUGUUCCCAUGAGCUGAGGUGUAGGUCCCAGAUGAUGCUUGGAUCCUGUGUUGCUGUGGUUGUGGUGUAGGCUGGCAUCUAUA
This 2603-nucleotide long non-coding RNA is filed under the name Sus scrofa (pig). Its description in RNAcentral is "lncRNA (ENSSSCG00065048291.1)". The record is from RNAcentral. Lineage: Eukaryota; Metazoa; Chordata; Mammalia; Artiodactyla; Suidae.